UUUGGACCUCUCGUCUCUUUGCUGCUAGCUAAAGAACACCGCAGAAUCUCAUGACCAUUUUUUUGGGGGGUUGUUUGGAUCUCGGUAUUUUCCAUCUAUAUUUCCAUACUUACUUUAAGAAUCAACACAACGAUUCAACUUAUAGUAAUCGUUGUUUGCUUUCAUCCAAUGCAAUCCUAUGGAGGUACAAUGGAGAUCUAAUUUGGGCAAUUGAAGGCAUAGAUGUCAGAAAUUGAACCCAGAUUUGGACGGUUGAGCGAAACGUGAUUGAUAGUUACCAUGUAUACUCUGAAUUUUGCAUUGUUUAGGUUUUAUCAAAUGGAAUCGAUUGGCAAGUCCUGUAACUCUUACCAUGGCUUCGUGCUGGGGAUAGCCGUACUGGAAAUAACGACACAUAACGUGUGGGCACAAAGACUUAAAAAUUGCGUGGUCGAUUUUUAAAAGUUAGUCUUUAAUGUAUAGUAAGCCCAAUAUAAACGAAAGCCCAUCCAUCUAAUUGACUCCUCCAAAUUGGCAAGGAUCCAAUUAUGUAUUUACCGGGUUAUAAGGGACGCGCGGACCCUUCAUGGGUAUGAAAUUUAUUAUAAUUAUUUUACGAUUUUAA
This is a long non-coding RNA of Capsella rubella, 604 nucleotides long. RefSeq lists it as uncharacterized. The transcript is spliced from 3 exons. The record is from RefSeq and is a predicted model, not a curated record. NCBI's taxonomy places the organism in Eukaryota, Viridiplantae, Streptophyta, Magnoliopsida, Brassicales, Brassicaceae.